RNAcentral lists this ribosomal RNA (484 nucleotides) under uncultured bacterium. RNAcentral describes it as "partial 16S ribosomal RNA". It matches the Rfam family "Bacterial small subunit ribosomal RNA", at positions 28 to 507 of the family's 1533-position model. The record is from RNAcentral.
AUUGAACGCUGGCGGCAUGCUUUACACAUGCAAGUCGAACGGCAGCGCGGGCUUCGGCCUGGCGGCGAGUGGCGAACGGGUGAGUAAUGCAUCGGAACGUGCCCAGUAGUGGGGGAUAGCCCGGCGAAAGCCGGAUUAAUACCGCAUACGACCUGAGGGUGAAAGCGGGGGACCGAAAGGCCUCGCGCUAUUGGAGCGGCCGAUGUCGGAUUAGCUAGUUGGUGGGGUAAAGGCUUACCAAGGCGACGAUCCGUAGCUGGUCUGAGAGGACGACCAGCCGCACUGGGACUGAGACACGGCCCAGACUCCUACGGGAGGCAGCAGUGGGGAAUUUUGGACAAUGGGGGCAACCCUAAUCCAGCCAUGCCGCGUGCGGGAAGAAGGCCUUCGGGUUGUAAACCGCUUUUGUUCGGGAAGAAAUCCUCUGGGCUAAUACCCCGGGGGGAUGACGGUACCGGAAGAAUAAGCACCGGCUAACUACGUG